This 391-nucleotide RNase P RNA is filed under the name bacterium LRH843. RNAcentral describes it as "RNase P RNA component class B". It matches the Rfam family "Bacterial RNase P class B". Rfam says of the family: Ribonuclease P (RNase P) is a ubiquitous endoribonuclease, found in archaea, bacteria and eukarya as well as chloroplasts and mitochondria. Its best characterised activity is the generation of mature 5'-ends of tRNAs by cleaving the 5'-leader elements of precursor-tRNAs. The record is from RNAcentral.
GCAUUCAGGUAAUCGCUGCACAUCUUUACAUGUGUAGAGGAAAGUCCAUGCUCGCACGGGCUGCGAUGCCCGUAGUGUUCGUGCCUAGCCAAUUCAUAAGCUAGGGUAGUCUGGUUUCGACUGGAUUAACGGCAAGGGAAGCACCUAAGUCAUUCUGAUAUGGUGUGAUACCUUUGAAAGUGCCACAGUGACGUAGUCCAUUUGGAAACAAAUGGAGUGGAACGCGGUAAACCCCUCGAGCGAGAAACCCAAAUAUGGUAGGGGCAUCUUCUCAUGAAGGAAUUGAACAGACGAGAAGGACAGGGAGCAUCCCUGUAGAUAGAUGGUUACCACCGGAGUACGAGGCUCAUCACCGAUUGUAGUACAAAGGUACAGAACAUGGCUUAUCGAA